This 492-nucleotide ribosomal RNA is filed under the name uncultured bacterium. RNAcentral's name for it is "partial 16S ribosomal RNA". It matches the Rfam family "Bacterial small subunit ribosomal RNA", at positions 28 to 507 of the family's 1533-position model. The record is from RNAcentral.
GAUGAACGCUAGCUACAGGCUUAACACAUGCAAGUCGAGGGGAAACGGCAUUAAGUGCUUGCACUUUUUGGACGUCGACCGGCGCACGGGUGAGUAACGCGUAUCCAACCUUCCCAUGACUAAGGGAUAACCUGCCGAAAGGCAGACUAAUACCUUAUGGUCUUCACUGACGGCAUCAGAUGUGAAGUAAAGAUUUAUCGGUUAUGGAUGGGGAUGCGUCUGAUUAGCUUGUUGGCGGGGUAACGGCCCACCAAGGCAACGAUCAGUAGGGGUUCUGAGAGGAAGGUCCCCCACAUUGGAACUGAGACACGGUCCAAACUCCAACGGGAGGCAGCAGUGAGGAAUAUUGGUCAAUGGGCGAGAGCCUGAACCAGCCAAGUAGCGUGCAGGAUGACGGCCCUAUGGGUUGUAAACUGCUUUUGUAUGGGGAUAAAGUCAAUCACGUGUGAUUGUUUGCAGGUACCAUACGAAUAAGGACCGGCUAAUUCCGUG